RNAcentral lists this ribosomal RNA (468 nucleotides) under uncultured bacterium. RNAcentral describes it as "partial 16S ribosomal RNA". It matches the Rfam family "Bacterial small subunit ribosomal RNA", at positions 28 to 507 of the family's 1533-position model. The record is from RNAcentral.
GACGAACGCUGGCGGCGUGCUUAACACAUGCAAGUCGAACGGAAAGGCCCUGCUUUUGUUGGGUGCUCGAGGGGCGAACGGGUGAGUAACACGUGAGUAACCUGCCUUUUACUUUGGGAUAACUUCAGGAAACUGGGGCUAAUACCGGAUAGGAGCUCCUGCUGCAUGGUGGGGGUUGGAAAGUUUCGGCGGUUGGGGUUGGAUUCGCGGCUUAUCAGCUUGCUGGUGGGGUAGUGGCUGGCGAAGGCUUGGACGGGUAGCCCGCCGGAGAGGGUGACCGGCCACAUUGGGAGUGGGAUACGGCCCAGACUGCUGCGGGAGGCAGCAGUGGGGAAUUUUGCACGAUGGGCGGAAGCCUGAUGCAGCAACGCCGCGUGCGGGAUGGCGGCCUUCGGGUUGUAAACCGCUUUCGCCUGUGACGAAGCGUGAGUGACGGUAAUGGGUAAAGAAGCACCGGCUAACUACGUG